UGUUUGUUUUAAACCUUAUGUUUGUUUAUGUCUGGUUUUCCUUUUGAUUGUUGAUAGACCCUUAAGGAAAGGACUGUCAUGGAUUCAGUCACAGGGCUGGCUAACCCACAACUAGACUCAUUUUGUCGACUGCCUGGAUAUCAAAACCAAAGGCUGAGUAAGUUCAGAGCCCCAUCACACCUAAGAUGAUCUGGGAGACCCAAACUGCAAAAGAGGCAUGGAGGAAAAUAUUCUACUUCCAGACUUUAUGAAUACUUUGAUCCUUGUUGAGGAUAACACUGGUACUGAGCUGCACAGACUGAAUCUGGAGGGCCUGCUCUCUUAUAUCCUCAGAUUCUUAUUGUCAGAGUGAUCAGCCCAAAGAAUGUUCUGGAGCGAUGAGGAAACUGAGGCAAAGAAAUAUUUUGGGAACCCAACAGUGCAAAUUACAUAUGAAAAUGAGAAGUGACCUUUCUGUCUACACUUCCAAAACAUCUAGUGCUGGCUAAGUAUUCCAAUUAUCAGCAGAAUACUUUUAUUUUGGCUUUUGCAUUGUUUGUUAAAAUAUCUCAAACUCACCAUUUUUUUUCUUUCUGAAAUGCGUUAACGAUAAUUAAAUCAACUACCAUUUCUGAGGUAAAGGUCUGAUAUCUAUCACAAAAAUAGAAAUUUAAGUUGCAUCAAAUUGGAUGUCAAAAACAGACUCCAACGAGAGACUGCUGAGUUGGAAUUAAUUUGCAAGAUGGACACCAUUAAAUUAGGCUUGAAAAAAGACUGGGAGUGGAUGGGUUAUUACACAAAGUAAAACUAUUUACCCAUGUUUAUUCCCCACACACACACUGUUCCUCACAACUUCUUGUCAAUUGCUUCAAAUGGACUGUUUUGAUUACCACUACAAAAAGUUUUUUUUCUCUCCUGCUGGUAAUAGCUCAUCUUAACUGAUCGCUCUCGUUAGAGUGUGUAUGGUAACACCCAUUUUUUUAUGUUCUCUUUGUAUAUAUAUAGCUUCCUACUGUAUUUUCCACUGCAUGCAUCCAGUGAAGUGGGCUGUAGUCCACGAAAGCUUAUGCUCAAAUAAAUUUGUUAGUCUCUAAGGUGCCA
This 1080-nucleotide long non-coding RNA is filed under the name Gopherus agassizii (Agassiz's desert tortoise). RNAcentral's name for it is "lncRNA (ENSGAGG00000015366.1)". Lineage: Eukaryota; Metazoa; Chordata; Testudines; Testudinidae. The record is from RNAcentral.